GGGGCUCCCCCUCAUGGCUCGCCGCGCCCCUGCUCGCUCUCGGCUUGUGUCAAACGGCGGGACAAUGCUCCAGCUCUCUGGGGAGCCCCCCGGGGGCCUGAGGGGCACAGGGCACUUCCCAAGGCUUAGCCCGUCCGCUAUACUGGGGGGACGGGGGGAGCGUGUGGCAGACUGAAACCCAACCGAACAGUCAGGUGGGAGCGGAGGGGGAGGGGCUCCUGGUGCGCGAAGGGAGAAACCCCGGCAGGGACGCCCCCAGCUGGUUCCGAGCCGGCCGCCGGGCAUCCCUGGGCUGCAAGGGCAUGUCUGCCCCGUCACUUCACGUGCUUUAGAAACAAAGAAUUCAUGAGUCCCAUUGGAGCUGCUGGGUACUUAAAACAGAGGCAUAGAGAAACCAGGUGAGGACGGUCCAGCUACCUGCACCAGGCAGACUGAAAUGAAGAGGCAAGGAGGAGGCACUGACAAAUCGUGUAUCCCAAACAGCUAAAGGAAGACCUUGGCACUCUUGGUGCUUCUGCCUAUGACAGAAUCCAUCUGCAGCAACUACAAUGCUUUGGCAGAUACUUGGGCAAGGCUGCCCUGUGCAUAUGUUUACUAAAACCCUAAAGCACUUCCACUGUAAUCUCUGGACCCUAGUUCAGUCUCCCUUAUAGUCUAAGGUACCAAUCUAAUAAUAUAUUCUGUAUAUUUAUACA
Gavialis gangeticus (Gharial) is the source of this 695-nucleotide long non-coding RNA. RefSeq lists it as uncharacterized. NCBI's taxonomy places the organism in Eukaryota, Metazoa, Chordata, Crocodylia, Gavialidae. The record is from RefSeq and is a predicted model, not a curated record. The transcript has 3 exons.